UGGGUUUGAGAAGACUUGAACUUCCGACCUCACGCUUAUCAGGCGUGUGCUCUAACCAGCUGAGCUACAAACCC
RNAcentral lists this transfer RNA (74 nucleotides) under Rickettsia endosymbiont of Ixodes scapularis. Its description in RNAcentral is "tRNA-Ile". Lineage: Bacteria; Pseudomonadati; Pseudomonadota; Alphaproteobacteria; Rickettsiales; Rickettsiaceae. The record is from RNAcentral.